CGAACGCUGGCGGCGUGCUUAACACAUGCAAGUCGAACGGAAAGGCCCCUUUGGGGGUACUCGAGUGGCGAACGGGUGAGUAACACGUGAGUAACCUGCCCUUGACUUCGGGAUAACUUCAGGAAACUGGGGCUAAUACCGGAUAGGAAUCCUUGCUGCAUGGUGGGGGUUGGAAAGCUUCGGCGGUUUUGGAUGGACUCGCGGCUUAUCAGCUUGUUGGUGGGGUAGUGGCUUACCAAGGCUUUGACGGGUAGCCGGCCUGAGAGGGCGACCGGCCACAUUGGGACUGAGGUACGGCCCAGACUCCUACGGGAGGCAGCAGUGGGGAAUAUUGCACAAUGGGCGGAAGCCUGAUGCAGCAACGCCGCGGGCGGGAUGACGGCCUUCGGGUUGUAAACCGGUUUCAGCAGGGGCGAAGCUUGUGGUGACGGUACCUGCAGAAGAAGCACCGGCUAACUACGUG
This 463-nucleotide ribosomal RNA is filed under the name uncultured bacterium. RNAcentral describes it as "partial 16S ribosomal RNA". It matches the Rfam family "Bacterial small subunit ribosomal RNA", at positions 30 to 507 of the family's 1533-position model. The record is from RNAcentral.